This 434-nucleotide ribosomal RNA is filed under the name uncultured bacterium. Its description in RNAcentral is "bacterial SSU rRNA". It matches the Rfam family "Bacterial small subunit ribosomal RNA", at positions 29 to 507 of the family's 1533-position model. The record is from RNAcentral.
AACGAACGCUGGCGGCAUGCCUAACACAUGCAAGUCGAACGCGUGUAGCAAUACACGAGUGGCGGACGGGUGAGUAACGCGUGGGAACCUGCCCAAUGGUAGGGAAUAACUGCGGGAAACUGCAGCUAAUACCCUAUGCUCCCUACGGGGGAAAGAUUUAUCGCCAUUGGAGGGGCCCGCGUCGGAUUAGCUAGUUGGCGGGGUAACGGCCCACCAAGGCUACGAUCCGUAGCUGGUCUGAGAGGAUGAUCAGCCACACUGGGACUGAGAUACGGCCCAGACUCCUACGGGAGGCAGCAGUGGGGAAUAUUGGACAAUGGGGGAAACCCUGAUCCAGCAAUGCCGCGUGAGUGAAGAAGGCCUUAGGGUUGUAAAGCUCUUUCGGCGGGACGAUGGUGACGGUACCCGCAGAAGAAGCCCCGGCUAACUUCGUG